GAUGAACGCUGGCGGUAUGCCUAACACAUGCAAGUCGUACGAGAGUUUUUAACUCAAGUGGCGGACGGGUGAGUAACACGUGAGAAUUUGCCUUUAGGAGGGGGACAACAACUGGAAACGGUUGCUAAUACCCCAUAUGCUUUCGAGUGAAAUGAAUUUAUUCGCCUAAAGGGAAGCUCGCGGCUGAUUAGCUUGUUGGUGGGGUAAGAGCCUACCAAGGCGACGAUCAGUAUCUGGUUUGAGAGGACGAUCAGACACACUGGAACUGAGACACGGUCCAGACUCCUACGGGAGGCAGCAGUGGGGAAUUUUCCGCAAUGGGCGAAAGCCUGACGGAGCAAUACCGCGUGAAGGAAGACGGCCUAUGGGUUGUAAACUUCUUUUUUCAGGGAGGAAUUCAAUGACGUGUACCUGAAGAAUAAGCAUCGGCUAACUCCGUGCCAGCAGCCGCGGUAAGACGGAGGAUGCAAGUGUUAUCCGGAAUCACUGGGCGUAAAGCGUCUGUAGGUUGUUAAACAAGUCAACUGUUAAAUCUUGAGGCUCAACUUCAAAAUCGCAGUCGAAACUGUUUGACUAGAGUAUAGUAGGGGUAAAGGGAAUUUCCAGUGGAGCGGUGAAAUGCGUAGAUAUUGGAAAGAACACCGAUGGCGAAGGCACUUUACUGGGCUAUUACUGACACUCAGAGACGAAAGCUAGGGUAGCAAAUGGGAUUAGAUACCCCAGUAGUCCUAGCCGUAAACAAUGGAUACUAGAUGUUGAACAGAUCGACCUGUGCAGUAUCAAAGCUAACGCGUUAAGUAUCCCGCCUGGGAAGUAUGCUCGCAAGGGUGAAACUCAAAGGAAUUGACGGGGGCCCGCACAAGCGGUGGAGCAUGUGGUUUAAUUCGAUGCAACGCGAAGAACCUUACCAGGGUUUGACAUGAUACGAAUUUUUGUGAAAGCAGAAAGUGCCGU
RNAcentral lists this ribosomal RNA (954 nucleotides) under uncultured protist. RNAcentral describes it as "bacterial SSU rRNA". It matches the Rfam family "Bacterial small subunit ribosomal RNA", at positions 28 to 1020 of the family's 1533-position model. The record is from RNAcentral.